Molecule: small RNA, 2588 nt
Filed under: Pan troglodytes (chimpanzee)
Lineage: Eukaryota; Metazoa; Chordata; Mammalia; Primates; Hominidae
Description: retained intron
Source: RNAcentral
CUCCCUGAUGCGUCCCCACCCCAGGCCCUGCCCAUGGCCCCUGAUGCCCACAGUAGCCCCCACUGCAGCCCGGGAAAUGAGUGUACAUCACACAGGGGACUCAGGUGCACAUUUGGAAAUAAAGGACAAGCAAGAGGCCAGAAAGGACAAAGUGGGAGCAGGAGACCUUAGAACUGGGGAGGGGGAGAGGGAGGGGACAUGUGGCAACAGCAGCUCAAGUGAGUCAGGUCUCGUAUCCGCACCUCAGCCAUUUCCGCCUCCCCUAGAAUCCACAGCCACUCUGCAAGAGGAAGCUGGGGUUUGUGGUUCCUGUUUUGCCUGGGAAGAAAGAGUAGCAGUGAAGAGGGGGCUGGUGGGAGCUCUGACACAUUUCGGCAUCAUUAACGCUUCCCCCAGGGGCAGAAGGGGCCAGAUUGGUGGCUCUGGGGUGCAUCCCCUCACCUAUGAUUAGGCUUGCAAAAAAGAACUUGGCUAAACUUUAUAUUGUGGAUAUCUGUGUCUGCCUCCCACCUUCCUGUGACUUCCUUGAUGGCAGAUGCCAUGUAUGAAACGCUGCUGAAUUUCUAGAGCCCUGCACGUUAGUAGGACUCCAUUUUCCAUCAGCUGAGUGACCUGGGAGGCACACUAGAGAGGGCACAUUUCUUUUCUUUUCUUUUCUUUUUUUUUUUUUUUGAGACAGUCUCACUCUGUCACCCAGGCUGGAGUGUAGUGGCGCAGUCUCAGCUCACUGCAACCUCUGCCUCCUGGGUUCAAGUGAUUCUCCUGCCUCAGCCUCCCGAGUAGCUGGGAUUACAGGUGCAUGCCACCACACCUGGUUAAUUUUUGUAUCUUUAGUAGAGACAGGGUUUCACCAUGUUAGCCAGGCUGGUUUCGAACUCCUGACCUCAGGUGAUCUGCCCACCUUGGCCUCCCAAAGUGCUGGGAUGACAGGCAUGAGCCACCACGCCCAGACGAGAGGGCACAUUUCCAACUGCAUUCUGAAGGCCUGGUGGUGAGAAAGAGCAUAUAGAGGUGGCACAGCCCAUAGCAGAGAUGAGGCCAAGGACAAGAAGAGAAUGCAGGAUGCCGCUUUCCACCUAGAAGAAGUUUAAAACCUGCGGUUCCAGGGUUCUCCAGCCCCUCCCUUUCUCACGCUCCGAAGCCGAGAAGGCCCAAAGCGAAGACAGAGAGGACCCGGAAGUAGGGAAAACCUCUGAGCACGUGAUGGGGGAACACGCGGGUGCUGUCACGUGAUCCGACAAACGGCCUCUGCAUAGUGCAGAACAUUCUGCUGCUCUUAAAGACCCUCAUCCCUCCCGUGGGAGCCCCCUUUGGACACUCUAUGACCCUGGACCCUCGGGGGACCUGAACUUGAUGCGAUGGGAGGCUGUGCAGGCUCGCGGCGGCGCUUUUCGGAUUCCGAGGGGGAGGAGACCGUCCCGGAGCCCCGGCUCCCUCUGUUGGACCAUCAGGGCGCGCAUUGGAAGAACGCGGUGGGCUUCUGGCUGCUGGGCCUUUGCAACAACUUCUCUUAUGUGGUGAUGCUGAGUGCUGCCCACGACAUCCUUAGCCACAAGAGGACAUCGGGAAACCAGAGCCAUGUGGACCCAGGCCCAACGCCGAUGCCCCACAACAGCUCAUCACGAUUUGACUGCAACUCUGUCUCUACGGCUGCUGUGCUCCUGGCGGACAUCCUCCCCACACUCGUCAUCAAAUUGUUGGCUCCUCUUGGCCUUCACCUGCUGCCCUACAGCCCCCGGGUUCUCGUCAGUGGGAUUUGUGCUGCUGGAAGCUUCGUCCUGGUUGCCUUUUCUCAUUCUGUGGGGACCAGCCUGUGUGGUGUGGUCUUCGCUAGCAUCUCAUCAGGCCUUGGGGAGGUCACCUUCCUCUCCCUCACUGCCUUCUACCCCAGGGCCGUGAUCUCCUGGUGGUCCUCAGGGACUGGGGGAGCUGGGCUGCUGGGGGCCCUGUCCUACCUGGGCCUCACCCAGGCCGGCCUCUCCCCUCAGCAGACCCUGCUGUCCAUGCUGGGUAUCCCUGCCCUGCUGCUGGCCAGCUAUUUCUUGUUGCUCACAUCUCCUGAGGCCCAGGACCCUGGAGGGGAAGAAGAGGCAGAGAGCGCAGCCCGGCAGCCCCUCAUAAGAACCGAGGCCCCGGAGUCGAAGCCAGGCUCCAGCUCCAGCCUCUCCCUUCGGGAAAGGUGGACAGUGUUCAAGGUUCGGAUGAUGGCUGGGGUAUGUCCCUGUGGGGCUUGCUCACCUCCAGGCCCCCCGCUUAUAUCUUCUGCCUUUUCCAGGGUCUGCUGUGGUACAUUGUUCCCUUGGUCGUAGUUUACUUUGCCGAGUAUUUCAUUAACCAGGGACUUGUAAGUGAGGGGUGCUAGGAGGGGUGUGGAGGUGGCGAUUGGGGCUGGGACCCACACGGCCCCGUCCAUCUCCCCUGUCUGGUAUUUGUUGCAGUUUGAACUCCUCUUUUUCCGGAACACUUCCCUGAGUCACGCUCAGCAAUACCGCUGGUACCAGAUGCUGUACCAGGCUGGCGUCUUUGCCUCCCGCUCUUCUCUCCGCUGCUGUCGCAUCCGUUUCACCUGGGCCCUGGCCCUGCUGCAG